AUGGAGAACUCGGCGGCGGCGGUGGGGGUGGAGAAGGAGGACGAGCUGGUGGGGGGCGGCGGGGGCGACUGGGGGUACCUCACGUCGGAGGCGAUGGCGACGGCCGGGUUCCCGGCGUUCGGGUUCCCCUGCGGCGCCAGGGGCGGCGUCACGCCCGCGCCGACCUCGGCGUCGCUGCUCAUGUCCAUGGAGCACGCCGCGCUGUUCGACUACAACGCCGCCUUCCCGUCGUCGUCGUCCUCCGCCGCCGCCGCGCCCCCGGCCUACCACGACUUCGGGUCCGGCGGCAACCCCUUCAACGUCGACGCCCCGCCGUUCCUUCUCGAGGCCCCGCCGCCGCUGACGGUGGCGCCGGGAGGGCAGAAAGGGGGGUUCUUGGCGCCCCCGCUGUCGGCGUUCGGCGAUGGCAUGGGGUGGGACGACGAGGACGAGCUGGAUCAGCAGAGCGUGGACGCCUCCUCCUUGGGGGUCUCGGCCUCGCUGGAGAAUGCCGUGGUCGGCGCGCCGGGGGGAGGUGGCGGCGGCGGCGGCGGCAACGGCAAGGGCAAGAAGAAGGGGAUGCCGGCCAAGAACCUGAUGGCGGAGCGGCGGCGCAGGAAGAAGCUCAACGACCGCCUCUACAUGCUGCGCUCCGUGGUGCCCAAGAUCAGCAAGAUGGAUAGGGCUUCAAUCCUUGGUGAUGCAAUCGACUACCUGAAGGAGCUCCUGCAGAGGAUUAGCGAUCUCCACUCCGAGCUCGAGUCUGCUCCCAGCUCUGCCGCACUCGGUGGACCAUCGACAGCUAAUAGCUUCCUCCCGUCGACGCCCACCCUGCAGCCGUUCCCCGGCCGCAUCAAGGAGGAGCGGUGCCCGCCGGCCCCUUUCCCUAGCCCCAGCGGCCAGCAGGCGACGGUGGAGGUGAGGAUGAGGGAGGGGCAGGCGGUGAACAUCCACAUGUUCUGCGCGCGCAGGCCGGGCAUCCUGCUGUCCACCAUGAGGGCGCUGGACAGCCUCGGCCUCGACAUCGAGCAGGCCGUCAUCAGCUGCUUCGAUGGCUUCGCCAUGGACGUCUUCCGCGCCGAGCAAUGCAGGGAGGGCCCUGGGCUCCUGCCGGAGGAAAUUAAGGCCGUGCUCCUGCACUGCGCCGGUCUCCAGAACGCGAUGUAG
RNAcentral lists this ribosomal RNA (1146 nucleotides) under Triticum aestivum (bread wheat). RNAcentral describes it as "partial small subunit ribosomal RNA". Lineage: Eukaryota; Viridiplantae; Streptophyta; Magnoliopsida; Poales; Poaceae. The record is from RNAcentral.